GACGAACCCUGGCGGCGUGCUUAACACAUGCAAGUCGAACGGAAAGGCCCUGCUUUUGUGGGGUGCUCGAGUGGCGAACGGGUGAGUAACACGUGAGUAACCUGCCCUUGACUUUGGGAUAACUUCAGGAAACUGGGGCUAAUACCGGAUAGGAGCUCCUGCUGCAUGGUGGGGGUUGGAAAGUUUCGGCGGUUGGGGAUGGACUCGCGGCUUAUCAGCUUGUUGGUGGGGUAGUGGCUUACCAAGGCUUUGACGGGUAGCCGGCCUGAGAGGGUGACCGGCCACAUUGGGACUGAGAUACGGACCAGACUCCUACGGGAGGCAGCAGUGGGGAAUAUUGCACAAUGGGCGGAAGCCUGAUGCAGCAACGCCGCGUGCGGGAUGACGGCCUUCGGGUUGUAAACCGCUUUCGCCUGUGACGAAGCGUGAGUGACGGUAAUGGGUAAAGAAGCACCGGCUAACUACGUG
RNAcentral lists this ribosomal RNA (468 nucleotides) under uncultured bacterium. RNAcentral's name for it is "partial 16S ribosomal RNA". It matches the Rfam family "Bacterial small subunit ribosomal RNA", at positions 28 to 507 of the family's 1533-position model. The record is from RNAcentral.